This 301-nucleotide ribosomal RNA is filed under the name uncultured bacterium. RNAcentral's name for it is "partial 16S ribosomal RNA". It matches the Rfam family "Bacterial small subunit ribosomal RNA", at positions 509 to 807 of the family's 1533-position model. The record is from RNAcentral.
CAGUAGCCACGGUAAUACGAAGGGGGCUAGCGUUGCUCGGAAUUACUGGGCGUAAAGGGAGCGUAGGCGGAUCGUUAAGUUGGGGGUGAAAGCCCGGGGCUCAACCUCGGAAUUGCCUUCAAUACUGGCGAUCUUGAGUAUGGAAGAGGUAUGUGGAACUCCGAGUGUAGAGGUGAAAUUCGUAGAUAUUCGGAAGAACACCAGUGGCGAAGGCGACAUACUGGUCCAUUACUGACGCUGAGGCUCGAAAGCGUGGAGAGCAAACAGGAUUAGAGACCCCUGUAGUCCCUGUCUCUUAUAC